CCUACGGGAGGCAGCAGUGGGGAAUAUUGGGCAAUGGGCGCAAGCCUGACCCAGCAACGCCGCGUGAAGGAAGAAGGCUUUCGGGUUGUAAACUUCUUUUCUCAGGGACGAAGAAAGUGACGGUACCUGAGGAAUAAGCCACGGCUAACUACGUGCCAGCAGCCGCGGUAAUACGUAGGUGGCAAGCGUUAUCCGGAUUUAUUGGGUGUAAAGGGCGUGUAGGCGGGAGCGCAAGUCAGAUGUGAAAACUCAGGGCUCAACCCUGAUCCGGCAUUUGAAACUGUGUUUCGUGAGUGCUGGGGAGGCAAUCGGAAUUCCGGGUGUAGCGGUGAAAUGCGUAGAUAUACGGAGGAACACCAGUGGCGAAGGCGGAUUGCUGGACAGUAACUGACGCUGAGGCGCGAAAGCGUGGGGAGCAAACAGGAUUAGAUACCCCUGUAGUC
This 443-nucleotide ribosomal RNA is filed under the name uncultured bacterium. RNAcentral describes it as "partial 16S ribosomal RNA". It matches the Rfam family "Bacterial small subunit ribosomal RNA", at positions 338 to 795 of the family's 1533-position model. The record is from RNAcentral.